RNAcentral lists this ribosomal RNA (740 nucleotides) under uncultured archaeon. RNAcentral's name for it is "bacterial SSU rRNA". It matches the Rfam family "Archaeal small subunit ribosomal RNA", at positions 1 to 750 of the family's 1478-position model. The record is from RNAcentral.
UUCCGGUUGAUCCUGCCGGACCCGACUGCUAUCAGAGUGGGACUAAGCCAUGCGAGUCGACGUAGCAAUGCGUGGCGAACGGCUCAGUAACACGUAGUCAACAUGCCCAGGGGACGUGGAUAACCUCGGGAAACUGAGAAUAAACCACGAUAGGUCACGAUUUCUGGAAUGGAUCAUGGCAUAAAUCUACAUGGCCCCUGGAUUGGACUGCGGCCGAUCAGGCAGUUGGUGAGGUAAUGGCCCACCAAACCUAUAACCGGUACGGGCUCUGAGAGGAGAAGCCCGGAGAUGGGCACUGAGACAAGGGCCCAGGCCCUAUGGGGCGCAGCAGGCGCGAAACCUCUGCAAUAGGCGAAAGCCUGACAGGGUUACUCUGAGUGAUUUCCGCUAAGGGGAUCUUUUGGCACCUCUAAAAAUGGUGCAGAAUAAGGGGUGGGCAAGUCUGGUGUCAGCCGCCGUGGUAAUACCAGCACCCCGAGUGGUCGGGACGAUUAUUGGGCCUAAAGCAUCCGUAGCCGGUUCUGCAAGUCUUCCGUUAAAUCCAGCCGCUCAACGGAUGGGCCGCGGAGGAUACUACAGGACUAGGAGGCGGGAGAGGCAAGCGGUACUCAGUGGGUAGGGGUAAAAUCCUUUGAUCCAUUGAAGACCACCAGUGGCGAAGGCGGCUUGCCAGAACGCGCUCGACGGUGAGGGAUGAAAGCUGGGGGAGCAAACCGGAUUAGAUACCCGGGUAGUCCCAG